CCUUACUUUUUGCAUUUCAUCCGUAUGGUGAAAAAAAUAUGCAAUUUUGUAACUUUACGAAUUAUUUCCUCCAAAAGGAAAUUU
This is a non-coding RNA of Plasmodium vivax (malaria parasite P. vivax), 84 nucleotides long. The record is from the annotation of a RefSeq genome assembly. NCBI's taxonomy places the organism in Eukaryota, Apicomplexa, Aconoidasida, Haemosporida, Plasmodiidae.